This is a long non-coding RNA of Lathyrus oleraceus (garden pea), 1476 nucleotides long. RefSeq lists it as uncharacterized. NCBI's taxonomy places the organism in Eukaryota, Viridiplantae, Streptophyta, Magnoliopsida, Fabales, Fabaceae. The record is from RefSeq and is a predicted model, not a curated record. The transcript has 2 exons.
AAAAUUUCCUCUACAUUCCCAAGCUUUCCAUUAAAAACAACUUUUUUUCUAGAAAGCCUCGCAGACCAAGAGACCACUUGCCACACAACAUAGUGAAAUUUGUUAUAGAUAGAACCGCACAACCACACACGAAUCUAUGACACAUAAGGAUGAUCCAGAUUUGUAACAUCAAGCUCCUUAAGACCCAACCAGAGAUGACGCAUCGUCUCUACAACACAAGAAUAAAAAUGAAAAACAAAUUGUUAUACACUAUACCAAACACACCUCUAUUCACACGCUGAUCUCUAAUUAGAAACUUAUUAUGCAUGGAUCUCCAACUAAAUAAAUUAAUCUUUCUUGACACUAUGACUUUCCACAAAAGACUCAACUCCUUUAGCAAGCUAACAUCCAAGAUCAAGUUGACAUCACUCAAAUCCUGGAUAUGUAUCUGAAGAUCCGACUCUGACUCUGAAGAUCACUUAUGAAGAUUCUUUCUCUGAUGGAGAUCCAAACUCUGAAGAAGUCAAUCUGAAUCUGGAAUCAACUCUAGUCACCAUGAAUAUGAAACUUAAGAAGUCAAUAAGUGGAUUCUGAUGUGAUCAGCCUCUAAAGAGUGAAGUCUGAAGAAAGCCUACCUAUGAAGCAGAAGCUCUUUAACUGAGGCAACUCUGACAGAUUCAAAAUCUUUUGAUCACGUGAAGACUUAAGGGAAUAUCUCUUCUUGGAUGCUUGAGCCUUAAUAGAUAAUUCCUCGUGCAUAAAUGUGUUUUAUUGAUGUGUCUAAUCAAGUACAAAGCUAGCCCAACCUUUUGGUGAAAAUCUCCAACGUCUCUUUUCUCCUUCUCUAUUUAAGAAACAGAAUGGCUGAAGAAGAAAAUUAGCAAACUUCAAUACAACACACUGCCACACAGACUCAGAACCUUGACAAUCAAAGAGAAGUCGAUCUGUUAAAAUUACUAGACUUAGAACAUAUUAACACUUGAAUUUUUUAGAAUUUUUAAGUCUUAAAGUUUGUCUAAGUUGUAUUUUGUCUACACCUCUGAUUGUAUAUUAAGUGUAGUUAUUACCCAAAUAUCUUAAAAGUUUGUUAUAGAGUCAUAAGUCUCUUAUUUUAAUACUUGAGAAUUUGAAGUAUUUAGCUUGUGUGCUAGAGGAAGGAAGUCUCAGACUUGUGUAUUUGAGAAAGGAAGUCUUGAGCUUGUGUGCUUGAGCAAGGAAGUCUCAAAUUUAUGUGUUUGAUCAAGGAAGUCUUAUACUUAUGUAUGUUAGCAAAGGAGGUAUCUUGCUUGUGUGCUUGAGCUUUUGUAAUCAUUUUGGUUAUAGUGGAAAGUCGUUGGAAGUGCAAGGGGACUAAAUUACUCUCAAAUCGUGAGAGGAACUAGAAUAAUUGCUUGUGUCUUUCGCUUUACUUUAUUUGCUUUUGAACUAUAUUUUGUUGCUAUCAUUUGUUUACCUCUGAGUUAGAUUCAGUUGCAGAAUCUAAUGAUAUUUAAAUAA